UUUAAGUAUCGACUUGGAGCAAGUUUGUUUAGCCUAGAUUAGUAAUAAUACAACUGUUAGAGCAAAAGCUAGAUUAUGACGUGCUGUUUUCUCAAUAAAAUCUCAUUUUAAUACGCAAAAGAACAACAGAAAAAAAAAGUAUGAUAAGGAACGAAUUUGCGGGACAUCUGGAAUUUGACGUUAGGCAUAUGUUGAAAUUUUGGAAAAAAAAAUAUUACUCUGUUUGCAGAAAUACGAGUGACAAAAAUAUCUGAAGCUGGAAGAUAACUGGAUAUCUAACUUCCUGCAGAUGCGUUAAAUGUGAAGUCUGGGGCGCAGCUCAAGUAUAUGAUUAACGUUUCUAUAGGAUCACGCAAAGAAUGGUCUGAAAUCCCCAGAACUAGAAAUAUCCCUUCUAUUUCCUUUUUAUUCUGGCAGUGGAGGAAGAAGGAAGCUGAAAAUAAGAGGAAAGUUGAACAAUGGUCACCGGGAUUUUCGAGCCAGUGGUCCGAAGCAAUGGAAUUAGAAUCAAUGAACCGAAAUUUAGCCAGUGGAGAUUUCAUAUCCAGAUUUAGAUUGGGUUAAAAGUUCGAAAGGUGCAGAGAAUAUAUAUUCUGAUAAAGCAAAAAAUAGGAGCAUAAGGCAAGUGGAGAGUAAUUAAACUGAUGAAAUUUAUUCGAUAUUUUUAACUAAAAAAAAUGGUAUUCUAUUUAGGGUUUGGGGUCUUAUUGUUUUUGGUUUUUUUUAAUUACACUCUAGGUAAAGGAUUUUAAAAAGUAAUUUGUGAUAAAAUUAAUUGUAAAGCGCUAAAUGUUUUAACAACUUUUAUACGAUAUAUCUUAGAUUCUAAGAAGCAGUUUUUUGAAACACAGACUUUAAUGUCAGCAUUGCAAAUGAAAAAAAAAAAAAAAAAAAAAAAAAAAAAAAAAAAAAAAAA
This is a long non-coding RNA of Stegodyphus dumicola, 916 nucleotides long. RefSeq lists it as uncharacterized. The record is from RefSeq and is a predicted model, not a curated record. Lineage: Eukaryota; Metazoa; Arthropoda; Arachnida; Araneae; Eresidae.